RNAcentral lists this ribosomal RNA (674 nucleotides) under uncultured bacterium. RNAcentral's name for it is "bacterial SSU rRNA". It matches the Rfam family "Bacterial small subunit ribosomal RNA", at positions 54 to 749 of the family's 1533-position model. The record is from RNAcentral.
CAUGCAAGUCGAGCGGUAAGGCCCUUCGGGGUACACGAGCGGCGAACGGGUGAGUAACACGUGGGUAACCUGCCCUGUACUCUGGGAUAAGCCUUGGAAACGAGGUCUAAUACCGGAUACGACCUGGGAUCGCAUGAUUCCGGGUGGAAAGUUCCGGCGGUAUGGGAUGGACCCGCGGCCUAUCAGCUUGUUGGUGGGGUAAUGGCCUACCAAGGCGACGACGGGUAGCCGGCCUGAGAGGGUGACCGGCCACACUGGGACUGAGACACGGCCCAGACUCCUACGGGAGGCAGCAGUGGGGAAUCUUGCGCAAUGGGCGAAAGCCUGACGCAGCGACGCCGCGUGUGGGAUGAAGGCCUUCGGGUUGUAAACCACUGUCGGGAGGGACGAAGCUCUGACGGUACCUCCAAAGGAAGCACCGGCUAACUCCGUGCCAGCAGCCGCGGUAAUACGGAGGGUGCGAGCGUUGUCCGGAAUCACUGGGCGUAAAGGGCGCGUAGGCGGCCCGGUAAGUAGGAGGUGAAAUCUUGCGGCUUAACCGCAAGGCUGCCUUCUAAACUGCCAGGCUUGAGCACAGUAGAGGCAGGUGGAAUUCCCGGUGUAGCGGUGGAAUGCGUAGAGAUCGGGAAGAACAUCGGUGGCGANGCGGCUCACUGGUCCGGUACUGACGCUGA